AAUCAACGCUGGCGGCGUGCCUAACACAUGCAAGUCGAACGAGAAAGUGGAGCAAUCCAUGAGUAAAGUGGCGACCGGGUGAGUAACACGUGACUAACCUACCCUGAAGUGGGGAAUAACCUCGGGAAACCGGGGCUAAUACCGCAUAACAUCGCGAGCUGUAAACGCUUGUGAUCAAAGGAGCAAUUCGCUUUAGGAGGGGGUCGCGGCUGAUUAGUUAGUUGGUGAGGUAACGGCUCACCAAGACAAAGAUCAGUAUCCGGCCUGAGAGGGCGCACGGACACACUGGAACUGAAACACGGUCCAGACUCCUACGGGAGGCAGCAGUGGGGAAUUUUGCGCAAUGGGGGAAACCCUGACGCAGCAACGCCGCGUGGAGGAUGAAGUCCCUUGGGAUGUAAACUCCUUUCGAUCGGGACGAUUAUGACGGUACCGGAAGAAGAAGCACCGGCUAACUCUGUGCCAGCAGCCGCGGUAAUACGAGGGUGGCAAGCGUUGUCGGAAUUAUUGGGCGUAAGGGCGCGUAGGCGGUGCUGUAAGUCUGUAGUGAAAUCUCUGGGCUCAACUCAGAGUCUGCAUAGAAACUGCAGUGCUGAGUGUGGGAGAGGUGAGUGGAUCCCGGUGUAGCGGUGAAAUGCGU
RNAcentral lists this ribosomal RNA (640 nucleotides) under uncultured bacterium. RNAcentral describes it as "bacterial SSU rRNA". It matches the Rfam family "Bacterial small subunit ribosomal RNA", at positions 28 to 691 of the family's 1533-position model. The record is from RNAcentral.